Molecule: ribosomal RNA, 484 nt
Filed under: uncultured bacterium
Lineage: Bacteria
Description: partial 16S ribosomal RNA
Rfam family: Bacterial small subunit ribosomal RNA
Source: RNAcentral
AUUGAACGCUGGCGGCAGGCCUAACACAUGCCAGUCGAGCGGAUGAAGGGAGCUUGCUCCUGGAUUCAGCGGCGGACGGGUGAGUAAUGCCUAGGAAUCUGCCUGGUAGUGGGGGAUAACGUCCGGAAACGGGCGCUAAUACCGCAUACGUCCUGAGGGAGAAAGUGGGGGAUCUUCGGACCUCACGCUAUCAGAUGAGCCUAGGUCGGAUUAGCUAGUUGGUGGGGUAAAGGCCUACCAAGGCGACGAUCCGUAACUGGUCUGAGAGGAUGAUCAGUCACACUGGAACUGAGACACGGUCCAGACUCCUACGGGAGGCAGCAGUGGGGAAUAUUGGACAAUGGGCGAAAGCCUGAUCCAGCCAUGCCGCGUGUGUGAAGAAGGUCUUCGGAUUGUAAAGCACUUUAAGUUGGGAGGAAGGGCAGUAAGUUAAUACCUUGCUGUUUUGACGAUACCAACAGAAUAAGCACCGGCUAACUUCGUG